This 74-nucleotide transfer RNA is filed under the name Staphylococcus aureus. RNAcentral's name for it is "tRNA-Asp". It matches the Rfam family "tRNA". From Rfam's summary of the family: Transfer RNA (tRNA) molecules are approximately 80 nucleotides in length. Their secondary structure includes four short double-helical elements and three loops (D, anti-codon, and T loops). Further hydrogen bonds mediate the characteristic L-shaped molecular structure. tRNAs have two regions of fundamental functional importance: the anti-codon, which is responsible for specific mRNA codon recognition, and the 3' end, to which the tRNAs corresponding amino acid is attached (by aminoacyl-tRNA synthetases). tRNAs cope with the degeneracy of the genetic code in two manners: having more than one tRNA (with a specific anti-codon) for a particular amino acid; and 'wobble' base-pairing, i.e. permitting non-standard base-pairing at the 3rd anti-codon position. The record is from RNAcentral. Lineage: Bacteria; Bacillati; Bacillota; Bacilli; Caryophanales; Staphylococcaceae.
UCUCGUAGUGUAGCGGUUAACACGCCUGCCUGUCACGCAGGAGAUCGCGGGUUCGAUUCCCGUCGAGACCGCCA